RNAcentral lists this ribosomal RNA (468 nucleotides) under uncultured bacterium. RNAcentral describes it as "partial 16S ribosomal RNA". It matches the Rfam family "Bacterial small subunit ribosomal RNA", at positions 28 to 507 of the family's 1533-position model. The record is from RNAcentral.
GACGAACGCUGGCGGCGUGCUUAACACAUGCAAGUCGAACGGAAAGGCCCUGCUUUUGUGGGGUGCUCGAGUGGCGAACGGGUGAGUAACACGUGUGUAACCUGCCCUUGACUUUGGGAUAACUUCAGGAAACUGGGGCUAAUACCGGAUAGGAGCUCUUGCUGCAUGGUGGGGGUUGGAAAGUUUCGGCGGUUGGGGAUGUACUCGCGGCUUAUCAGCUGGUUGGUGGGGUAGUGGCUUACCAAGGCUUUGAGGGGUAGCCGGCCUGCGAGGGUGACCGGCGACAUUGGGACUGAGGUAGGGCCCAGAAUGGAACGGGACGCAGCAGUGGAGAGUAUUACACAAUGGGGGGGAGCCUGAUGCAGCAGCGCCGGGUGCGGGAUGCCGGCCUUCGGGUUGUAAACCGAUUUGGCCUGUGCUGAAGAGUGAGUGACGGUAAUGGGUCAAGAAGCACCGGCUAACUACGUG